Molecule: ribosomal RNA, 689 nt
Filed under: uncultured Microbacteriaceae bacterium
Lineage: Bacteria; Bacillati; Actinomycetota; Actinomycetes; Micrococcales; Microbacteriaceae
Description: bacterial SSU rRNA
Rfam family: Bacterial small subunit ribosomal RNA
Source: RNAcentral
GUGGCGAACGGGUGAGUAACACGUGAGCAAUCUGCCCUUGACUCUGGGAUAACUGCGGGAAACUGUAGCUAAUACCGGAUACUUUCCUCGCUGGGCAUCCAGCGGGGAAGAAGGAAUUUCGGUCAAGGAUGAGCUCGCGGCCUAUCAGCUAGUUGGUGAGGUAAAGGCUCACCAAGGCGACGACGGGUAGCCGGCCUGAGAGGGUGACCGGCCACACUGGAACUGAGACACGGUCCAGACUCCUACGGGAGGCAGCAGUGGGGAAUAUUGCACAAUGGGCGAAAGCCUGAUGCAGCAACGCCGCGUGAGGGAUGAAGGCCUUCGGGUUGUAAACCUCUUUUAGCAGGGAAGAAGCGAAAGUGACGGUACCUGCAGAAAAAGCACCGGCUAACUACGUGCCAGCAGCCGCGGUAAUACGUAGGGUGCAAGCGUUGUCCGGAAUUAUUGGGCGUAAAGAGCUCGUAGGCGGUUUGUCACGUCUGCUGUGAAAAUCCGAGGCUCAACCUCGGACUUGCAGUGGGUACGGGCAGGCUAGAGUGCGGUAGGGGAGAAGGGAAUUCCUGGUGUAGCGGUGGAAUGCGCAGAUAUCAGGAGGAACACCAAUGGCGAAGGCACUUCUCUGGGCCGUAACUGACGCUGAGGAGCGAAAGCGUGGGGAGCGAACAGGAUUAGAUACCCUGGUAGUCCAC